GGGGCAGUGUGGUCUAGGAAAAUUCAACUUGUCGCUGAUUUGUGCCUGAUGCUUGCUGUCCGUCAGCAGCCUCCCUUACAAUCUUUUUUUCUCUCUCUCCCUUUUUUUCUUGCCUUCUCCUUCUUCACUGAAGCCUAGGGGAGCCAGCAAAGAUUAAAUGUGCUUUCUCAAAGGCAGCCACUUCAUGCUGCUAUGUCGAAAGGGCCAUUAUUAUUAUUAUUUUUAAUAGUAAAAGAAAACGGGAGAGAGAGGCUGAGACAGAGAGAAGCAAGGUAGGCUGAUGACGGACUAGCUUUUCUGGGAGGAAAAGGAAAGUGAGGGAGAAAGGAGAAACCCUGAACUGAACCGGACGAUCGUGCCUGAGAAGAACCUCCAGAGGUGGAUUGCUCAUGCCCUGAGGUUGCUACUACCACUGAUCACACAGGCAUUUGGGGAGUGCACAACGGCACACGGGAUUUUUGUAUUUCAGCGGGGGACUGCUCCAGUGUUAAGGCAGGUUUCUCAACACCCCUUCUUCCUCACGGAGCCCAUCAGCAAAGUUCAGUGAAAUGAAUAACAUAAUUGGUGGUUGGUUCAAUCACUACCAGUCUAGACUAGCCCAGACGCAUCAAUUAGAGAGCGCUGUCUUUUAAAGGGGGAACGCAACCGAAACAAGCAGGGCAUUAUUGAUACUGAUCUUUAAAAGUGCAAAUCCAGCUUGGCAGAUUAAAAAAAAAAAAAAAUAAGGCGGGGAAUUGGGGUGGGGGCGGUUUGCGUUGCGGGAAGAAAAGAAAAAGACGUGAACUGGAGCUUUCGGACACAGAAGGACAGGAAGCUUGAGAGAAAAGGCGUGGAUAAUGAGUGCAAGGCAAUGCAGCACCUCCUUGGAACACACAGUUACAAUUCAGUUCACAAGGCAUACUGGUUCACCAUAUUUUUAACUAGAUUCUCCCCCUCCUCCUUUUUUUUUUUUUUUUUGCCUCUGUUUCCAAAGAAGUUCCAGCUCAAACCCAAUUCUGUUGGAAAUUUAACAGCUCUAGGAAGCUCCACUGAAAAGAAAGCCAAGUAAUACGAACCAGCCAAAACUCCUUUUGCAACAUUUUUCCCCAAAAGAAAAACACAGAAGAUGUUUAUUUUUGAGUCUCUAAUUCUACUUAAAAAAAAAAAAAAAUCAACAGGA
Long non-coding RNA from Neogale vison (American mink), 1159 nucleotides. RefSeq lists it as uncharacterized. NCBI's taxonomy places the organism in Eukaryota, Metazoa, Chordata, Mammalia, Carnivora, Mustelidae. The transcript has 2 exons. The record is from RefSeq and is a predicted model, not a curated record.